GCUCGAACUGGGGUUGAAGC
RNAcentral lists this microRNA (20 nucleotides) under Echinococcus granulosus. Its description in RNAcentral is "egr-miR-10232-3p". Lineage: Eukaryota; Metazoa; Platyhelminthes; Cestoda; Cyclophyllidea; Taeniidae. The record is from miRBase by way of RNAcentral.